GCGUGAGAUUACUAGGGAACAAAUCAGUAGUUCCGAAGGAGGCAAAAUGAUGCAUAGGCAGUGCAGCUGAAGCACAGACUAUAAAUGGUGCUGUGCUGCGUCUCCACAGAGCUCAGGUGUCUUCUGAAGGCAAAUUACUUCAUAACCAGCACAGAACACGGUACUGUUGCCUAAAGGGUUAAAUUAUUUUUUAUCAGCUGACAAUCUUUGAAGCGUAAGUUUGUAAGUAUACCAGCAGGGAAAAAUUAAAGUGCUCCAGAUCUGAUGGCUGAAAAUAUGAAAAUAGUAGUCUUAUAUGUCAUAUAGAAGAUUCUCAUGCACUGAGGAGAUCUGCCUGAUGUACAUAUAGUUUUUCUCCAGGAAAUAAAUGGAUCCAAUCAGUGUUUUUAGGUUUUACA
Molecule: long non-coding RNA, 398 nt
Filed under: Cyanistes caeruleus (blue tit)
Lineage: Eukaryota; Metazoa; Chordata; Aves; Passeriformes; Paridae
Description: lncRNA (ENSCCEG00000015706.1)
Source: RNAcentral